RNAcentral lists this ribosomal RNA (443 nucleotides) under uncultured bacterium. RNAcentral's name for it is "partial 16S ribosomal RNA". It matches the Rfam family "Bacterial small subunit ribosomal RNA", at positions 339 to 795 of the family's 1533-position model. The record is from RNAcentral.
CUACGGGUCGCUGCAGUGGGGAAUAUUGGGCAAUGGGCGCAAGCCUGACCCAGCAACGCCGCGUGAGGGAAGAAGGUUUUCGGAUUGUAAACCUCUGUCCUUGGGGACGAAGAAGUGACGGUACCCAAGGAGGAAGCUCCGGCUAACAUAGCGUGCCAGCAGCCGCGGUAAUACGUAGGGAGCAAGCGUUGUCCGGAAUUACUGGGCGUAAAGGGUGCGUAGGCGGCAUAUUAAGUCAGGUGUGAAAUACUCGGGCUCAACCCGGGGGCUGCAUUUGAAACUGAUAUGCUUGAGUGUGAGAGAGGAAAGUGGAAUUCCUAGUGUAGCGGUGGAAUGCGUAGAUAUUAGGAGGAACACCAGUGGCGAAGGCGACUUUCUGGCUCAUAACUGACGCUGAGGCACGAAAGCGUGGGGAGCAAACAGGAUUAGAUACCCUUGUAGUC